GUGAUGCUAAUCUCCAAACCAUGUCUCAGUUCGGAUCGGAGUCUGCAACUCGACUCCGUGAAGCUGGAUUCGCUAGUAAUCGCGCAUCAGCCAUGGCGCGGUGAAUACGUUCCCGGGCCUUGUACACACCGCCCGUCAAGCCAUGGGAGCCGGGGGUACCUGAAGUCCGUAACCGCGAGGACCGGCCUAGGGCGAAACUGGUAACUGGGGCUAAGUCGUAACAAGGUACC
Molecule: ribosomal RNA, 230 nt
Filed under: uncultured bacterium
Lineage: Bacteria
Description: partial 16S ribosomal RNA
Rfam family: Bacterial small subunit ribosomal RNA
Source: RNAcentral